UCUACCCUACGGGACGCAGCAGUGGGGGAUAUUGCACAAUGGGGGAAACCCUGAUGCAGCGACGCCGCGUGAGUGAAGAAGUAUUUCGGUAUGUAAAGCUCUAUCAGCAGGGAAGAAAAAAGACGGUACCUGACUAAGAAGCCCCGGCUAACUACGUGCCAGCAGCCGCGGUAAUACGUAGGGGGCAAGCGUUAUCCGGAUUUACUGGGUGUAAAGGGAGCGUAGACGGCAAUACAAGUCGGAAGUGAAAUACCCGGGCUUAACCUGGGCACUGCUUUGGAAACUGUAUGGCU
This 293-nucleotide ribosomal RNA is filed under the name uncultured bacterium. RNAcentral describes it as "partial 16S ribosomal RNA". It matches the Rfam family "Bacterial small subunit ribosomal RNA", at positions 333 to 642 of the family's 1533-position model. The record is from RNAcentral.